CUCCUCCUUUACUGUGUUGAUUCCCUUUAUAUAUUUAAAUGUUUCUAUCAUAUCCCCCCUGUCUCGUCUUUCCUCCAAGCUAUACAUGUUAAGAUCCUUUAACCUUUCCUGGUAAGUUUUAUCCCGCAAUCCAUGAACCAGUUUAGUAGCCCUUCUCUGAACCCUCUCUAAGGUAUCAAUAUCCUUUUGAAGAUACGGUCUCCAGUACUGUGUACAAUACUCCAAGUGAGGUCUCACCAGUGUUCUGUAUAAUGGCAUGAGCACUUCCCUCUGAGC
RNAcentral lists this long non-coding RNA (276 nucleotides) under Pelobates cultripes (western spadefoot toad). Lineage: Eukaryota; Metazoa; Chordata; Amphibia; Anura; Pelobatidae. The record is from RNAcentral.